This 3601-nucleotide long non-coding RNA is filed under the name Gallus gallus (chicken). RNAcentral describes it as "lncRNA (ENSGALG00010006040.1)". The record is from RNAcentral. Lineage: Eukaryota; Metazoa; Chordata; Aves; Galliformes; Phasianidae.
CAUUUUCAGUGUCUUCCAGUGCUGCAAACACUCGGACAUUCCUGCUGCACUCAUACCUGUAUGGACAUCUAUUGGCUGUGUCUGCAUUACUCUGUGAAAAAGGGAGAAAUAGCUCACAUCAGUGCGUUUAAUUCUACAAGAAUUUUAUUCUAUCCCAUUCCAUCUUCUUUUUGGGAUAUUGGAAAGCUGCUGCACAUGCAAGAAAAGAGAUCUGGAUUUCACAAAUGAUUCCAGCUGGAUGGCUACUUCAGAGGGAGACCAGGAGAAACACCGCUGUGAAAGGCCAUGUGAUUAACGUGCAGUAAGACAUCCAGACUGUGCACUUUGACUGCAGGGAGGAUAUGGCCUUCCAUGAGAGGAAAGAUUCCGGUUCAUUUUACUGUGUGUAGGAAGUGGAUUUAUGCAGUGCUAUCGGUAGACAGGGAGGCAAGCACUGCUUCCUUGCUGACGACAGAAGUAUGUGAAACUGCUGUAAUCUGAUCACUAAAAACGAGUGGAAGACUGGUGAUGGGAUGAGCAGUAAAGCAGCAUCGUGGUUCAGAAGUGGCAGCCGAGACAUCCCCACACCUCUGCUGCAGUGAAGAAAUUAGGUCAGUCUGUCACCUCGGACAAGGAUCCUAGAAGUCAGCUACAUCAGUGCCUUUGGCUGGGAUUUCUCUUUACUGCCUUAAGCAACUAAAUAUUUUGCUUCACUCCAAGCUUGAUGACACUGAUGGUCUGCCAUGAGUCAGACACUGAGGGCUUUCCUUAUUUCCUCCUCAUGGUGAAAUGAACAAAGGACAUCAGGAUUUGGCAUGCUUCCCAUGUUCAUCUCCUGCUCGAAGGCACCGCAGCAUGGACACACAGUCAUAGAUAGAACUACAAUGGAGGGAACUGUUUCACCUCUCUUAUUUGGCCUUACAGAUUUAUGAUUUAGGCAUUGAAUCAGUUCCAGCUGAAUUCAACAGCACAACUCCCAUAGGUUUUAAUAAGAAUAUCAGGGCUUUCCUAAUUAAUGUAAUAAUCGUAUAUUACUGGCACGACAACUGAUAUAGUAGCCUUUUAAGAAGCCUUUAAAAAAAACUCAAACAAUUCCACUUGCUUUUUGAGAGUGCUACAUAGCAAGUACACACACCACAUGUAAACAGACAGCAAGAGAUAUUUCAGCAUUUCAGGUGAAAAGCAAAAGGUUUUCCACAAAUUGUACAAGAGUUGCUUGAAAGUUUUGGAGCCAAGCUAAGUUUUUCAGAGACCACGAUCUGUAUGUUCAGCUGUUUGAAUCUCAGCCUGUGGCUAACCACUAUCUCUUCUCCAGGGAGAAGCCUGGAAGAACUUCUACCAUAGGAAGUAUACAAAUCCUGGUUUUACUCAAAAUCCUACUUUCUCAUAGCAGCAGCAUUCUACUCAAUCAGCAUUCUACUCAAUACUAUCAAGAGAAAAGAGACAUAGCAAUUGGUAUGAAAUUUGAACUCCUGUUUUUUCUGCCACCUGUGCUAAAAAGAAAAUUCUUCCAGACAAUGAAUGUUUCCUAAUUUCCCACCCACAUAUGCCCAGAAUUUCCUCUUGUUCUCCAGUUGCUGGCAAAAGAAAUACUCUCACAUCCCAUUAAGUGCUGAAAUAGAGUCCUAUUUCUGGCACAUAUCUGUGGAAUUAUACCAGAAAAGUCAGGAUGAACAAAUUUGCCCCCUUAUGGUGACAUCUUCCAUAUCAAAUCUUCUAUUUCACUUAAUUACUGAAUAUUUUCUUCACAGAACUGAAAAUAACAUUGUUAGGAUUGUAUUCUUUCCUUCCACUGGUACUUUCCACAUUUUGCCCAGUGAGACAACCACUUGCAAUUCCCUGCUGCUUUUCAACCUAACACAGGCCAGUAUGUCCUUCUAAAGGAGUUAGAUCCAGCCUCAUCUGUUAAGUAUCAGAUAAAUCCUGUCUGACACUAAACACUUCUAUACAGGUCUAUAAUAAAGCAUGGCAAUUCUGUGGUGCAGGGCCACUACAGAGCCUAAAUUAUAGGAUGUAGGCCAGUUUCUCAUCCAUGGGCUUCUGGCAAGAGCCAGAAAGUUAAAACUCAAAGCUAAAUGUGUAGAAAAGACUUCUGGAGAAAACAGUGAUGGAUUUGCUGAUGCUGUAUAACACUGUACAUCUUUUCUGGGUGACAGAAACUUCAUAAAGCUCAGCAGAACAAAUGCAAGGUACUUCCCAUUGGACAGACAGAGGGCCCUGUAAGGUGGGGUCUGGCUAGAGUGAGAGCAGCUCUGCAGGGCAGGAUCUGGGGUGAAGUUUUUGAACACGAAUCAGCAGUGCGCCCUUGAGGUAAUGAAAGCUAACCACAUGCUAGGCUGCAUUAGCAAGAGAGCAGCCAGCAGCUGGAGGGAAAUGGUUAUUCCCUUUCAAUUGGCAUUUGCGAGGUCACGUUUGGCAUAAUGUAUAAUGUCCAGUUUUGGGUUUCACCCUGAGAGACAUUGGUAUGCUAGACUAAGUCCAAUGGAGGGCCACAAAGACAGUGGUGUAAGGCAUUCAAGGACAAGCUGAGGAAACUGAGUUUGUCCAGCCUGAAGAAGCAACGUGUGGCUAGGAGAGGGAGCUUUGAUGGUAAUCUUCAACUUCAUGAAGUGAUGUUACAAACAAGACAGAGCCAGUCUUCUCUCAGAAGCAUGAAGCUAAAAGGCAAACAUCAGUGGUCAUGAGCUGUAGCCAGGGAAAUUCUCAUCAAAUAUAAGAAGGAAAAAAAACAACACAAAACAGAGCAGGGAAGGGUGGUCAAAAACAGCCAGAGAGGUUGUGGAAUCUCCAUCCUCAAAAAUUUUCAGUGUUUGACUGGAGAAAGCCAUGAGCAACCUCAUCUGACUUUCAAGUUUGUCUGACUUUAAGCAGAGGGUUGGACUAGAUGACCUCCAAAGGUUAUUUCCAGCGUAAAUUAUUCUGUGAUUCUAUAAAUAAGGUAGAGGUUGUAAGGAAAAGGUCCUAAAUCAGAUUCAGGAGUGGCAUGAGCCUUUCCUGUGUUGAGAGAUCAGGCCUGCAGGCUGUUAAUACCACUGACCUCCUAAGGCUGAAUGAUUGAAAACCACUGUUGGAUGCAGCAGAGCAUGUGUUCCUGGCAUAGCGCUUGCAUUGAGCCCUACCCAAGUUUCUGUAAGCAAUGGCUUUAUCUGGGCGGAGUGCUGUCACUCAGGCACUUUUCCCUUCAUUUUUCCCUCACUUCUUGUCAUCAGAAUACAUGAAAUCCAGUUUGUUAAAAGAACUCACCAAACAUUCACACUCCAAGAACAGGAGUGUGAUUUUUGCAAGAAUUUUAACUUUCUUGUAACAUUUUCAUUUCUCAGAAAAUCUCUUGUGCCUUUGGUAACCAAAGUAUUGCACAGGUAAAAUGUACCAAUCACACACAAAUUCCUACUGCUUGCCUGAAUAAGAGCAAUCGAUAGGAAAAAAAAAAAAAAAAAGACUCAUACUAGAAAUCUCUGUUUCUAUUAGUUGAAGUGAUUCUAUGGGAGAUAAACAAAGAUUCACAUUUUAACAAUUCAGGUGACCUCAGAAAGACUGAAGUGACAACAUUUUUUUAUGGCGGAUAGUUUAAACUAGUGAGAUGUUCGCUCUACUAACUAAUAAAAAUGAAGUUUUGAUACGU